Molecule: ribosomal RNA, 484 nt
Filed under: uncultured bacterium
Lineage: Bacteria
Description: partial 16S ribosomal RNA
Rfam family: Bacterial small subunit ribosomal RNA
Source: RNAcentral
AUUGAACGCUGGCGGCAUGCCUUACACAUGCAAGUCGAACGGCAGCACGGGAGCAAUCCUGGUGGCGAGUGGCGAACGGGUGAGUAAUACAUCGGAACGUGCCCAGUAGUGGGGGAUAACCCGGCGAAAGCCGGACUAAUACCGCAUACGACCUACGGGUGAAAGCGGGGGAUCGCAAGACCUCGCGCUAUCGGAGCGGCCGAUGUCAGAUUAGCUAGUUGGUGGGGUAAAGGCCUACCAAGGCGACGAUCUGUAGCUGGUCUGAGAGGACGACCAGCCACACUGGGACUGAGACACGGCCCAGACUCCUACGGGAGGCAGCAGUGGGGAAUUUUAGACAAUGGGCGCAAGCCUGAUCCAGCCAUGCCGCGUGCGGGAAGAAGGCCUUCGGGUUGUAAACCGCUUUUGUCAGGGAAGAAACGCUCCGGGCUAAUACCACGGAGUAAUGACGGUACCUGAAGAAUAAGCACCGGCUAACUACGUG